GACGAACGCUGGCGGUGUGCUUAAUACAUGCAAGUCGAGCGAGGUCCAUCUGGUGGCAACACCAGUGAAGGCCGAGCGGCGAACGGGUGAGUAACACGUGAGCAACCUGCCCCGAAGUCUGGAAUAACAUCGGGAAACCGGUGCUAAUACCGGAUCGCCCCACCUGACCGCAUGAUCGGGUGAGGAAAGUAUUUAUCGCUUCGGGAGGGGCUCGCGGCCUAUCAGCAGUUGGUGGGGUAACGGCCUACCAAGGCGUCGACGGGUAGCUGGUCUGAGAGGACGA
RNAcentral lists this ribosomal RNA (283 nucleotides) under uncultured bacterium. Its description in RNAcentral is "partial 16S ribosomal RNA". It matches the Rfam family "Bacterial small subunit ribosomal RNA", at positions 28 to 303 of the family's 1533-position model. The record is from RNAcentral.